This 374-nucleotide transfer-messenger RNA is filed under the name Spirochaetales bacterium. It matches the Rfam family "transfer-messenger RNA". From Rfam's summary of the family: Bacterial tmRNA, also known as 10Sa RNA or SsrA, is named for its dual tRNA and mRNA-like properties. Its role is to liberate the mRNA from a stalled ribosome. The record is from RNAcentral. RNAcentral also lists the same sequence under 2 other names. Lineage: Bacteria; Pseudomonadati; Spirochaetota; Spirochaetia; Spirochaetales.
GGGGGUGCGUUGGUUUCGACUGGCGUAUGGUUGUGCCGACAGUUGCAGGCGGAGCGCUAACUCCGAAAACUGGCAAAACACAAAACUGCCAAGAAAGAAGACGAAGUCUCCUUCGAUGCAGAAUACGCUCUCGCUGCCUAAGCAGUGAGUCCGUACAGGUACUUGGAGUGCCGCCCUUAACGCCAAGUAUCCUGUAAACAACAAGGGCUUACCCGAAGGAAUGCCGAUGGCCCGAGGGGACAAUUCAGUCGGCUCAGAAACCACUACGUCGGCCGCUGGCCCGAAGGGUUUCGAAUACACGAACAGCGGCUAAGCUUGUAGACGCUGUCGGGCGGCACGUUAGGACGGGGGUUCGACUCCCCCCACCUCCAACA